CAGCAGCCGCGGGAAUACGUAGGGUGCGAGCGUUAAUCGGAAUUACUGGGCGUAAAGCGUGCGCAGGCGGUUGUGUAAGACAGGUGUGAAAUCCCCGGGCUUAACCUGGGAACUGCGCUUGUGACUGCACAGCUAGAGUAUGGCAGAGGGGGGUGGAAUUCCACGUGUAGCAGUGAAAUGCGUAGAGAUGUGGAGGAACACCGAUGGCGAAGGCAGCCCCCUGGGCCAAUACUGACGCUCAUGCACGAAAGCGUGGGGAGCAAACAGGAUUAGAUCCCCCGUAGUCCCUGUCUCUUAUACA
This 301-nucleotide ribosomal RNA is filed under the name uncultured bacterium. RNAcentral describes it as "partial 16S ribosomal RNA". It matches the Rfam family "Bacterial small subunit ribosomal RNA", at positions 509 to 808 of the family's 1533-position model. The record is from RNAcentral.